This 496-nucleotide ribosomal RNA is filed under the name uncultured bacterium. RNAcentral's name for it is "partial 16S ribosomal RNA". It matches the Rfam family "Bacterial small subunit ribosomal RNA", at positions 29 to 507 of the family's 1533-position model. The record is from RNAcentral.
AUGAACGCUGGCGGCGUGCCUAAUACAUGCACGUCGCGCGAACAGACGAGGAGCUUGCUCCUCUGACGUUAGCGGCGGACGGGUGAGUAACACGUGGAUAACCUACCUAUAAGACUGGGAUAACUUCGGGAAACCGGAGCUAAUACCGGAUAAUAUAUUGAACCGCAUGGUUCAAUAGUGAAAGACGGUUUUGCUGUCACUUAUAGAUGGAUCCGCGCCGCAUUAGCUAGUUGGUAAGGUAACGGCUUACCAAGGCAACGAUGCGUAGCCGGCCUGAGAGGGUGAUCGGCCACACUGGAACUGAGACACGGUCCAGACUCCUACGGGAGGCAGCAGUAGGGAAUCUUCCGCAAUGGGCGAAAGCCUGACGGAGCAACGCCGCGUGAGUGAUGAAGGUCUUCGGAUCGUAAAACUCUGUUAUUAGGGAAGAACAAAUGUGUAAGUAACUAUGCACGUCUUGACGGUACCUAAUCAGAAAGCCACGGCUAACUACGUG